ACUUUCGGUUAUCUAGCUUUAUGAAGAAUGUACGUCACUCAUACAGCUAGAUAACCAAAGAU
This 62-nucleotide microRNA precursor is filed under the name Xyrichtys novacula (pearly razorfish). It matches the Rfam family "mir-9/mir-79 microRNA precursor family", at positions 1 to 62 of the family's 78-position model. Rfam says of the family: The mature ~21nt miRNAs are processed from hairpin precursor sequences represented here. miR-9 is processed from the 5' arm of its precursor, and miR-79 from the 3' arm. The bounds of the precursors are predicted based on conservation and base pairing and are not generally known. The record is from RNAcentral. Lineage: Eukaryota; Metazoa; Chordata; Actinopteri; Labriformes; Labridae.